CCCUUAGACGUUCUGGGCCGCACGCGCGCUACACUGACCAGUGCAACAAGCAUCCGUCCUUGGCCGACAGGCUCGGGCAAUCUUUGAACGCUGGUCGUGAUGGGGAUAGACUUUCGCAAUUUUUGGUCUUCAACGAGGAAUUCCUAGUAAACGCAAGUCAUCAACUUGCAUUGAUUACGUCCCUGCCCUUUGUACACACCGCCCGUCGCACCUACCGAUUGAAUGGUCCGGUGAAGCCUCCGGAUUGGCGCGCACCUCGGUGCCGCCGAGAAGUUGGCUAAACCUUACCAUUUAGAGGAAGGUGAAGUCGUAACA
RNAcentral lists this ribosomal RNA (315 nucleotides) under uncultured eukaryote. RNAcentral describes it as "partial 18S ribosomal RNA". It matches the Rfam family "Eukaryotic small subunit ribosomal RNA", at positions 1470 to 1796 of the family's 1831-position model. The record is from RNAcentral.